GUAUAUGAUGAUUUACCACAUUUCACGACGGUCUACUGCGUUUGGGAACUUGUAAUUCCCUUACCUUGAUGAUAUUCUCGGCCUUGACCGGCCGUGGUUCCUGAAA
RNAcentral lists this small nucleolar RNA (106 nucleotides) under Meyerozyma guilliermondii ATCC 6260. RNAcentral describes it as "Small nucleolar RNA snR73". It matches the Rfam family "Small nucleolar RNA snR73". Lineage: Eukaryota; Fungi; Ascomycota; Pichiomycetes; Serinales; Debaryomycetaceae. The record is from Rfam by way of RNAcentral.